GCAUGAGUCUGGCUUUAUGGCCAACUCGUCCUCCUGGGUCUCUACUGUCACCCUCCAGAGCAAACAGGCCCCGAACCACUGCCAGUCUCCGCCUGUGGGCUGCUGGCACCAAGUGGGUCACACGGUG
RNAcentral lists this small nucleolar RNA (127 nucleotides) under Tupaia belangeri (northern tree shrew). RNAcentral describes it as "Small nucleolar RNA SNORA42/SNORA80 family (ENSTBEG00000019948.1)". Lineage: Eukaryota; Metazoa; Chordata; Mammalia; Scandentia; Tupaiidae. The record is from RNAcentral.